UGUCGUUCUCAAAUAAAUAUCACAAUGAUAUUGGCUUCUGUAAUUGACUAGCCACGAUGAAAUUAAAGUGUUAUCAAUGAUAAGCUUUAUAGGUUGAACCUAAUACUAAAAAGAUUUUGAAAGACAUAACAUUUUAAAUCUUGCAAAUACGUGUAAUUAUAAAUUUCAGCUUUUUAUUUUAUUUUUAGUCUAUUGUUUGAGAUGGUGAAUUGACCUCUAGACGUCUUUUCAAUUUGGCUUUGAGUUGUUUUUCUUAUUGUUGUGCAU
This 267-nucleotide long non-coding RNA is filed under the name Mytilus galloprovincialis (Mediterranean mussel). The record is from RNAcentral. Lineage: Eukaryota; Metazoa; Mollusca; Bivalvia; Mytilida; Mytilidae.